RNAcentral lists this ribosomal RNA (1778 nucleotides) under Euglena mutabilis. RNAcentral describes it as "bacterial SSU rRNA". It matches the Rfam family "Eukaryotic small subunit ribosomal RNA", at positions 62 to 1262 of the family's 1831-position model. The record is from RNAcentral. Lineage: Eukaryota; Euglenozoa; Euglenophyceae; Euglenales; Euglenaceae.
AGGACACUGUGAAUCGAGAGUUGAUCUGUGAAUGGCUCCUUAGACCAGUUGCCAUCGACGUGAUAGACCGUGUGUGGCACCAGCCUCUCGCCCAAGGCGCUCAGUUGGACAUCCCUCAAAACCUGGUGGCUAAUACACGAUCAAGAGGUCAGCCAAAGGACCUGUGGUGAUGCAACAACCCUCAAAGUCGCUUCGCGUCUCACCCUCAGUGGUAGACUGCAACCAGCUGGUGAUCAAGACCUGUGCUCCGCAACUCGGAGCAGCGUUGACCCCGCGAUGAACCAAGCUGGAUCUCAAUGGCGUAUCGAAACGAAAGGCAAGGGACAGUCAGCUCUGGCGAUUUGAUCUCGGCUGUGGCUCAGGCCUCAGCUGGAUCUACACGACAUGUGUGCUCGUGGUCUCACCGAGGCCUCGUUCACUCAGCUUGAUCAUGCGAACUUCUGACCUAUCAGCUCGAUGGUGAUGCAAUGGAUCACACUGGCCUCGACGGGUAACGGGGAAUGAGGGUCUGAUUCCGGAGAGGGAGCCUUAGAGACGGCUACCACUGCUACGGCGGGCAGCAGGCACGCAAAUUGCCCCAUGAACGAACACCCAUUGAGGCAGCAACGAACUGCAGCAACCGUGCAUGACCUCAUUGGUCGGUACGGCUUGUAAUGGAUGCAACCCAAACACAGUUAUGAGUAGCCACUGGAGAGCAAGUCUGGUGCCAGCAGUCGCGGUAAUUCCAGCUCCGAGUGCGUAUGCUGUCAUUGCUGCUGUUAAAGCGCUCGUAGUCAGACAAUGGGUUGCAGGGACCGUGUAGCCACGCAGGCCCAGUGGGCUCCCAGAUGCCCCGUGCAGAUGGUCCCAUCGGACAACCCAGCAGCUGCACGUGACCCACGUCCCUCGGCAACUAGGACGUCUCUCUGCUUCCCACAGCUCAUUGCUGCUGCAUCGGCUCACCCGUUGGCCCGGUGCACCCAGUCUGGAUGGCAUGAUGUGCUCUUGCUGCAAGCGCCCUUUACUGGACCCUGAGGCGGUGAUGCUCACAACGCUAGUCAUUGGCAACAGUCCGUGUGGAACCACGACCCCGUGUCUGGAAGCCCAGAUCCACACCAGCCAGCCCUCAGAGCCUGCCAUCAUUGUCACUCUGGUGAAAGCAGUGUGCUCCAAGCGUCCAACCGAAGUCCCCCGCUCGACGGGGGACCCUCAGUCAAGGCUGAAUGUGCAACCAGUGAAUGCCAACCACACGACCGCGUGAGGCAAUGCUUGUGCCGGUCUUGAGACCCACGACUUGGGUAGUGUGGCUGGGGGGAACCGGGGACUGGGUCGCUCCUCGCAGAGGACGAGCCUGACGCGUGCUUCCCUGUCCCAGCCACUCGAUCCCGGAUGGGAUGCAGCCUCACGGGGUGAAGGGAACCUUUGUGUCAGAGGUGAAAUUCUUAGACCGCAAUGAGACCACCUGAGGCGAAGGCUCUUCGACCAACUAGCCUGUCUCUCUCGAUCAAGAAUGGCAGUUUGGGGAGCCAAGAUGAUCAGACACCGUCGUAGUCCAGCGCCGUAAACCGUACCAUCCGAGUCCUGCAGCUAUGCGUGCUUCCCAUUGCCCCAGGACUCACACCCCUGACCGAGAGAAAUCCCAAGCGGGUCCAGGGGGGAGUACAGUCGCAAGGCAGAAACUUAAAGGAAUUGACGGAGUGGCACCACAAGGCGUGGAGUAUGCGGCUUAAUUUGACUCAACGCGGGGAAUGUUACUAGGCCAGCACAUGGCAAGGAUGGACAGACUGAGAGCUCUUUCU